GGGCGCUAGGCGGCAGCAUCCUUAGGUGCUUUUGGACAUCCUGACUUCUGAGGUAUGCUCGUCCUCUCUGUGUCCAGCUGACAGGAUACAUCACCAGAAACUAUACUUGCAACUGGCCAUCAGGGCUGGGAUGCUCCCUGGACUUUACAGAGCUGUGACUGUACUGAGAAGAAACAAAGAGAAGACAGUCCCAUCCCUGCAGUUCUCUGAGAAUGAUGACUGUUUUCAACAGACCCAGCUCAUCAGUUUACAAACAGCAGUCAGCAACCACCAACAUUCAGAUUAAACCUGCUUUGUUAUUUUGGGGAGAAAAUAUUUCCUGAGCUGUACCUUUGAUGCCGCAAGAUGAUUACUAAGACAUGGCCCAGGGUGAGCACCUGUCCUUCCUGGUUCAUCUUCUUCCCAUACCUGUCUGCAGCUCCUCCUCCAAGAGCCUGAGAGGCAACCAUGCCUCCUCUCGGCUAUUCAGCUGCUGUGUGACAAGCCUCGCUCAGCCACUCUGGAAAGAGGGGAAGGCAGCCUGGCCUGGCCUUAACCACAGAGUCCUUGAGCCAAACUCAAUAAGGAGACAUAAAAAAACAAUCUAAUAAAGGCACAUCAUAAACUCUACUUUUUACCUCACCGUUUAAAAUUACCCAUCAGAUAAAAAGCAUACAUAUAGGUCACACAAGUACCUAAUAUGAUUUUUUUACUACAGAAUCUCAUGGAUUGGUAUUUAAAUAUUAAUGAAGCACUACAGGCAGCAUACAAAGCAAGAAUAGAUGUGAAAGUAUAAAACACACAUUUAAUUCUAUUUAAAACAAGUUAAAAUUUUCACGAUAAAACUUCUCAUUAAUUGUAAAUCACAAACUUUAAUAUUUGGAACUAUAUAAUAUACUUGGGAUAUUGAUUAAUGCCCCCUCUCCUUUCAGAUAUUAAAUAUUAUUAUUCAAAUGAAAAUUCUAUUUCUGUUUCUAUGUAUAUCUGACAUUUACAUGUGGUGAAAAGGGGUAAAUAAAGUUACUUAAAGUCUUAAAGUAAAUCUUUAAAAACUUUUUUCAGAAGGUUUAAGACAUCACAUUUUUCUCAUGAGCACAAAAUUUACAGUCAAAAGUUGCACAUAAAGGGUUUAUUUUAAAUGUUUUAAGGAUAAGAUAGAGUUACAUCAUAAUUAUAAAAAUUACUUACAGAAUUAACAGAUUUAUAUUGUUUAUACUUCUAAAUGCAGAGAACAGGGAACUGUCUACACAUUGUAUAAAAUAAAAAUAAAAUUAAAAAUGAAUUCAAGCUUGAAAGAUGAGGUCAUUACCUAAUUUUAAGAUGCGAACACGAAGACCUCUGAACUAUACACAUUCGUUCAAACUGCACUACAAUGAUGGAAAAUACAAAAAGCGCAGCAUUUCCAAGGAACCACAGACAUUUUGACCAUAAUUAUUUGUUCCUGUUUUGUCUUUGGAAAAGUUUCAUUUUUUUUUUAAGACAAUCAGCUUAAGAAUGUUUUCAGGCACUACAAUUUGUAACAAUCGGAAUAGUUUUCUAAUGGGUCCACAACGUUCAGAGAUUCAAGCCCAAUGCACUUCGGGGUUUGGCACAUAAAACAAUAAUAGAAAUGAAAUCUGGUCUACCGAUAACUGUGAUUGUUUUAAGAUGCACAGUCCCUUCAAAUGCUGCAUGACACAUACAAGUGGAAAGUCACCUUCUGUUGGCACUACGUUUGCUUCACCAGUGCAUUUUAUCCUACAACCACUAAGACAGCACAGUAAGCAAAUAUACAGAAAACUGAAAACAAGUAAAAACAAGGAUAGAAAACAAAAAAACCUAAAUAUCUUCAACAUGCAUUUUUCGUUAGUUACAUUGAACAUUCUACUUAGAAUAGAGCAUGCAAAAAAGGAUGGUCUGCUUUUAAAGUUUUCCUUUGAAGCUUUCCGUGGCAGCCAGACAUCACACACACGCACACAGGACACAGUAAUACUAUAGCAGGUCAAUGAGGAAGGCCAAUACAUUUUAUACAGAGAUUCAUGUCUCGUAUUGUCACAAGUCCCAUGAUGAUUUUGGAAAUUAAUGUUGGAUUCCUAGGAAAAGGAACCAACAUCCAGAUACCAGGAAAAUGCAAGCAAUGCAUGCAGAUCUGAAACAUGAGCCUAAAAUGAAGCCUGAAAUACUCGGCUAGGGAGAUUAGUCACAGCAUCACUAAGUGUGGUUUAAGCCACCAAAAAAGAAAAAAAGAAAAAAAUGGAAAAACAAACAAAAACCCCUUUCCCCUCCUUCAGCCCUAAAGGCAAAAACAAACAAUCAAACAAACAAAAUCCCCCAGAAACAAUAAUUAAAAUAAUAACAAUAAUCACUUGUCACAUUCAUCUAGAGAGUGGCAGAUCAUGUGGUACUGAAGUUGCUAAAGGUACUUGCAGAAAAACCACAAUACAAGCCAUUAAGUAAUGCUAGAAAUGUUUCAACUGACCCAACCUGCAGGAUACUUCCAAAGAACUUUGCUUUCCAGCCCAAAGUCACUGUGCUAUGUUUGUGUAGUGCACGUGCUGGACACACUGGGCCACACAUGUUCACUUGGGCUUGGGGGAUUGGGCUUAGCCUUGAGAUUCAAAUGCAGGCACUCCUACAAGAACCAUCAGGAAAACAGCUGACAUAUAUGCAGCAUGACACUGGUUCAAACAAGGGAGGGGCGUCUAAGACCUGGGUACUCACUGCAAGGAGAAGCUUGCCCCUGGCUGCUGAGGCACUGGACAUGCUGCAGAAAAUGCGGGGUGUGUACAUGGUGCGUGAGGUGACCAUCCAACAGAACUAGAUACAUCAUUCCUGAAGAUGAAGUGGGCAUCAUGUGAACCACACAUUAGACCUUGGAACUACAAAAUCCCUAACAUCAAGGACGGCCAUAAAGGAGGCUGCAUAGACCUCUAAUGUUUGACUGAUAGCGUGAUCGGUUAGUCUUCUGCCCAAAUCUCAGUUAAGAUUUCCAACCUCCCCAAUAGACUGGUGUCACAUAAGGCCUCUUAGCUUUCAAACCAUGAGGGCUUAUCUAAAACAAAGUGACAGGUGGGUGUCUUGCUGUUAAACCAACUACUUUUUUGGUUAAAACAACCUUGAAGGAAUAAGCCAUGGAAAGAGUCUGUGGCUAAUAAAGGCUGCUAUCAGUCACACCUACAAAUGAGUAUGGCCAACUGACCCUGGUAUGAGAGAGUCCCCAGCAGCAGCACACAGUGAGCAAGGACAUAUAGUGUCAGGGGAUUUUAGCUAGUAUUUGCUAGAUAUUCUUUGUGGGGAAAGCCAGUGGAAAAAAGCCUUUGGACCAUAAUCAUAUAUUAGUAAUAACAGUAAUUAAAACACAAGUUUCCUAGAGAACUUGUUAAAGGGCAAUGCUGUCAUUUUCCAACUUACAUUAAUAAAAAGUACUAUGUUCUUCCAGGAACUUACCACAUACACACAAAUGACUGAUGUGCUGUUGGUUUUAAAUCUGUGUACCAAAAUCCAGAUUACUGAUUUGUACAAAUAAUGGACCCAAUGUGCGCCCAAAAUACACUGGCAUUACACUGUGUGGACCAAGCACCUGGGCUUUGCUUAAAAAAAAAAAAAAGUAUUUGAUUAAAAA
Long non-coding RNA from Phyllostomus hastatus (greater spear-nosed bat), 3580 nucleotides. RefSeq lists it as uncharacterized. NCBI's taxonomy places the organism in Eukaryota, Metazoa, Chordata, Mammalia, Chiroptera, Phyllostomidae. The record is from RefSeq and is a predicted model, not a curated record. The transcript is spliced from 2 exons.